RNAcentral lists this ribosomal RNA (254 nucleotides) under uncultured bacterium. RNAcentral's name for it is "partial 16S ribosomal RNA". It matches the Rfam family "Bacterial small subunit ribosomal RNA", at positions 524 to 776 of the family's 1533-position model. The record is from RNAcentral.
UACGGAGGGUGCGAGCGUUGUCCGGAUUCAUUGGGCGUAAAGAGCUCGUAGGCGGUUCAGUAAGUCAGGUGUGAAAUCUCCGCGCUCAACGCGGAGCGGCCACCUGAUACUGCUGUGACUCGAGUCCGGUAGGGGAGUGUGGAAUUCCCGGUGUAGCGGUGAAAUUCGUAGAUAUUGGGAAGAACACCGGUGGCGAAGGCGGCUCACUGGCUCGUAACUGACGCUCAAGCGCGACAGCGUGGGGAUCAAACAGG